GGCAGCACAGAAGAGCUUGCUCUUUGGGUGGCGAGUGGCGGACGGGUGAGUAAUGUCUGGGAAACUGCCCGAUGGAGGGGGAUAACUACUGGAAACGGUAGCUAAUACCGCAUAACGUCGCAAGACCAAAGUGGGGGACCUUCGGGCCUCACACCAUCGGAUGUGCCCAGAUGGGAUUAGCUAGUAGGUGGGGUAAUGGCUCACCUAGGCGACGAUCCCUAGCUGGUCUGAGAGGAUGACCAGCCACACUGGAACUGAGACACGGUCCAGACUCCUACGGGAGGCAGCAGUGGGGAAUAUUGCACAAUGGGCGCAAGCCUGAUGCAGCCAUGCCGCGUGUAUGANGAAGGCCUUCGGGUUGUAAAGUACUUUCAGCGGGGAGGAAGGCGGUGAGGUUAAUAACCUUGCCGAUUGACGUUACCCGCAGAAGAAGCACCGGCUAACUCCGUGCCAGCAGCCGCGGUAAUACGGAGGGUGCAAGCGUUAAUCGGAAUUACUGGGCGUANAGCGCACGCAGGCGGUCUGUUAAGUCAGAUGUGAAAUCCCCGGGCUUAACCUGGGAACUGCAUUUGAAACUGGCAGGCUUGAGUCUCGUAGAGGGGGGUAGAAUUCC
Molecule: ribosomal RNA, 613 nt
Filed under: Pantoea dispersa
Lineage: Bacteria; Pseudomonadati; Pseudomonadota; Gammaproteobacteria; Enterobacterales; Erwiniaceae
Description: bacterial SSU rRNA
Rfam family: Bacterial small subunit ribosomal RNA
Source: RNAcentral